Molecule: ribosomal RNA, 712 nt
Filed under: uncultured bacterium
Lineage: Bacteria
Description: bacterial SSU rRNA
Rfam family: Bacterial small subunit ribosomal RNA
Source: RNAcentral
GAGUAACGCGUAUCCAACCUGCCCACCACUUGGGCUUAACCUUGCGAAAGUAAGACUAAUACCCAAUGAUAUCUCUAGAAGACAUCUGAAAGAGAUUAAAGAUUUAUCGGUGAUGGAUGGGGAUGCGUCUGAUUAGCUUGUUGGCGGGGUAACGGCCCACCAAGGCAACGAUCAGUAGGGGUUCUGAGAGGAAGGUCCCCCACAUUGGAACUGAGACACGGUCCAAACUCCUACGGGAGGCAGCAGUGAGGAAUAUUGGUCAAUGGACGAGAGUCUGAACCAGCCAAGUAGCGUGCAGGAAGACGGCCCUAUGGGUUGUAAACUGCUUUUAUAAGGGAAUAAAGUGAGAGUCGUGACUCUUUUUGCAUGUACCUUAUGAAUAAGGACCGGCUAAUUCCGUGCCAGCAGCCGCGGUAAUACGGAAGGUCCGGGCGUUAUCCGGAUUUAUUGGGUUUAAAGGGAGCGUAGGCCGGAGAUUAAGCGUGUUGUGAAAUGUAGAUGCUCAACAUCUGCACUGCAGCGCGAACUGGUUUCCUUGAGUACGCACAAAGUGGGCGGAAUUCGUGGUGUAGCGGUGAAAUGCUUAGAUAUCACGAAGAACUCCGAUUGCGAAGGCAGCUCACUGGAGCGCAACUGACGCUGAAGCUCGAAAGUGCGGGUAUCGAACAGGAUUAGAUACCCUGGUAGUCCGCACGGUAAACGAUGGAUGCCC